AGGGCACCACCAGGAGUGGAGCCUGCGGCUUAAUUUGACUCAACACGGGAAACCUCACCAGGCCCGGACACCGGAAGGAUUGACAGAUUGAGAGCUCUUUCUUGAUUCGGUGGGUGGUGGUGCAUGGCCGUUCUUAGUUGGUGGAGCGAUUUGUCUGGUUAAUUCCGAUAACGAACGAGACUCCGGCCUACUAACUAGAUGGAGGAUCCCUUCGUGGGUUCUUCACUGCUUCUUAGAGGGACGGGCGGCGUUUAGCCGCACGAGAUUGAGCAAUAACAGGUCUGUGAUGCCCUUAGAUGUUCUGGGCUGCACGCGCGCUACACUGAAGGAAUCAGCGUGUCCUCCCCGCUCUGAAAAGAGUGGGUAACCCGUUGAAACUCCUUCGUGAUGGGGAUUGGAGAUUGUAAUUACUCUCCAUGAACGAGGAAUUCCCAGUAGGCGCGAGUCAUCAGCUUGCGUCGAUUACGUCCCUGCCCUUUGUACACACCGCCCGUCGCUACUACCGAUCGAGUGAUUUAG
RNAcentral lists this ribosomal RNA (519 nucleotides) under uncultured eukaryote. RNAcentral's name for it is "SSU rRNA". It matches the Rfam family "Eukaryotic small subunit ribosomal RNA", at positions 1161 to 1701 of the family's 1831-position model. The record is from RNAcentral.